UUUUUAUCUAGUUUAUAAAAAAUAAUAGUUUGUCAAAUUAUUGAUGCAAAUAUGCGAUUAAUGAGUAGCUUAUCUUAAAGCCUAGU
RNAcentral lists this transfer RNA (86 nucleotides) under Radix sp. MOTU5. RNAcentral's name for it is "tRNA-Asp". The record is from RNAcentral. Lineage: Eukaryota; Metazoa; Mollusca; Gastropoda; Lymnaeidae.